Molecule: non-coding RNA, 649 nt
Organism: Paramuricea clavata
Lineage: Eukaryota; Metazoa; Cnidaria; Anthozoa; Malacalcyonacea; Plexauridae
Source: the annotation of a GenBank genome assembly
GUUUGUAGACCAUUCUAUUUGACAGUUUUGCAUUUACUACAUUUGGUGGGGAUAAUUAACACCCCUGGGUUUAGUGGAAGAUGAUCAAAACAAAUAUGAAUUAAAACAUGAUUUUGCUCUUAACAACAUAUGCCUUACAAAACUGAUGGUACAAUGGCAGUAUACGGUAGUGGCAUUAUAUGUAACUUGGAAACUUUCCAUGAUGAAUUGUGUCACUGUGAUUGUGUAUACAGCACGAAGUGAUUAUAGUUAAAAGUAAGGGUCCCAUAUUCCUUUUAAUGUUCUAUUUUUAAGUCAUCAAGCUUAAAAUAACUAUAGAAUUCAAGCAAGACAAUUAUAUAAGCAUCUAAUUCUCCAAUUUCAAAAAUGUAAUGUCUGCAACGUAAUGUCCGCAACACAUUAUUCAAGACAUGUUAAUACUUUUUAUUGUCUUUUUCAAGUCUAAAAUAAUGUUAAUACCAUUUUAAAAAAGCAGCACAAAUAUAAUUUCAAAAGAGCUAGACGUUUGGCUGAAAAAUAAAUUGAAUUGUUUUUUUUGUUGCGGACAUUACAUUUCUCUUACCCAAACUUCGAUGCACCAUAAAUCACAGCAACACUGGAUAUUGUCUGUCUAACAUUGUCAUCAUGAUAUGUGAACCUUAGACUGUGU